GUUUAUAACCUUGCUAAUAAGCUAAAGUGUUACUUAUGUUUGAUGAAUGAAAAGAUAUAAAGGAAAUAAUGAGGAACUUAAAUUUGAUGCUAUGUACAAUAUGUAUGUUUCAACUUGUUUACAACUCGCAAGGAGAGGUUGACGAAACAUGUCAAGUAGAUUGUGCAUGCUGUAUAGAUAGAAAAUGUGAAAAAGGGCAUUUUACUUCUACAGAUUGUACUCUAGGCUGUAUUGAUGGUCAUAGAGGUGCUCGGUGCUACUCGC
Long non-coding RNA from Ruditapes philippinarum (Manila clam), 264 nucleotides. RefSeq lists it as uncharacterized. NCBI's taxonomy places the organism in Eukaryota, Metazoa, Mollusca, Bivalvia, Venerida, Veneridae. The record is from RefSeq and is a predicted model, not a curated record. The transcript is spliced from 3 exons.